GCUGCAGUUAAAAAGCUCGUAGUUGAAAUUCUGUACGACAGACUAAGAACAUUUAUGUUAUUAGCUCUUCGGACAUCAGUCUGCAAUCUUUUUCACGUCAUUCAUUUGACGGGAUUGGGAGCAGACGUUUUACCUUGAGAAAAUUAGAGUGUUCCAGGCAGGCUUCAGCCCGAAUACAUUAGCAUGGAAUAAUAGAAUAGGACUAGAGACUAUUUAUUGGUUUGAGGCUCUAGUAAUGAUUAAUAGGAACAGUCGGGGGCAUUAGUACUUAACAGUCAGAGGUGAAAUUCUAGGAUUUGUUAAAGACUAACUAAUGCGAAAGCAUUUGCCAAGCAUGUUUUCAUUAAUCAAGAACGAAAGUUAGGGGAUCAAAGACGAUUAGAUACCGUCGUAGUCUUAACCAUAAACUAUACCGACUCGGAAUUGGAUAAUUUUAAAAUAGGUUAUUCAGCGCCGUAAGAGAAAUCAAAGUCUUUGGGUUCUUGGUGGAGUACGAUCGCAAGAUUGAAACUUAAAGGAAUUGACGGUUUUGCACCACCAUGGAGUGGAGCCUGCGGCUUAAUUUGACUCAACACAGGAAAACUUAUCAGGGUAAAAAGGUAUUGGGAUUGACAGAUUGAGA
Molecule: ribosomal RNA, 622 nt
Filed under: uncultured eukaryote
Lineage: Eukaryota
Description: SSU rRNA
Rfam family: Eukaryotic small subunit ribosomal RNA
Source: RNAcentral